CGAUAAAUAAUGCAGAAAAAGCUGAGAAACGCUCUGCAACAAGAGACGAUGGAUCUGACCGGAGAAAUUUUCGGAUCCAAUCUGGACAUGGAACCUUCGGCGUACCAAAAGUACCAAAAGAUUCCACCAAAAUAAUCCAAGAACUAUUCAAAAAGGUACGGGAAGCUCACGUAAUGCUGCCUCCAGGUGAAUCCGAAAGUGUACUGUGUGUUCCGAAACUAAACUAGAAACGAGAAGACGAUCUUUGCUCAUGGUACCUUGAAUGAAUGAACAUUCAUAACUGAAAUGGUUACGUCAUUGGCAGUGAUCCAACCCGGAAUAUUUCAACGGUUCCGGAAAGUCAUCGGCGGGAUGCAACAAGAAGCGGCCGUUUAAAUAAAAUCCUGUGAGGAAACCCUAUGGCAUCCAGCUCAUUAUAACGUGGAAAAACUAAAAAUAGGAACGAGUAUUUUGUCGCUUACGAUGGUAGAACAUGGUUUUUGAUGAAGACAACAUCAAAUUCAAGUAC
Uranotaenia lowii is the source of this 508-nucleotide long non-coding RNA. RefSeq lists it as uncharacterized. NCBI's taxonomy places the organism in Eukaryota, Metazoa, Arthropoda, Insecta, Diptera, Culicidae. The transcript has 3 exons. The record is from RefSeq and is a predicted model, not a curated record.